CCCUUAGAUGUUCUGGGCCGCACGCGCGCUACACUGACGAAUGCAACGAGCUUAUAACCUUGGCCGAAAGGUCUGGGUAAUCUCCAAAUUUCGUCGUGAUGGGGAUAGAUUAUUGCAAUUAUUAAUCUUCAACGAGGAAUGCCUAGUAAGCGCAAGUCAUCAGCUUGCGUUGAUUACGUCCCUGCCCUUUGUACACACCGCCCGUCGCUCCUACCGAUUGAAUGGUCCGGUGAAGCGCUCGGACCGCGGCCUCUUGACGGUUUUCCGUCGAUUGGCUGUGGGAAGUUCGCUAAACCUUAUCAUUUAGAGGAAGGAGAAGUCGUAACA
Molecule: ribosomal RNA, 327 nt
Filed under: uncultured eukaryote
Lineage: Eukaryota
Description: partial 18S ribosomal RNA
Rfam family: Eukaryotic small subunit ribosomal RNA
Source: RNAcentral